CGCGGGACCUGAACCGGGGAGGCAAGCGCAUUAACAGGUGUGACGCAGGAAGGUAGCCGGGCCGGGCAAUGGAAAUGACCUGGUCUAAGGGUGUAGGGCUGCCGGUAGGUAAAUCCGCCGGCUGUAUGCCUGAGACCUGAUGGGCGCCCACAUGGUGGGUGAUCCGGUGAUCCUAUGCUGCCUAGAAAAGCAUCGGCGCGAGGUUCAAACUGCCCGUACCCUAAACCGACACAGGUGGUCAGGUAGAGAAUACUAAGGCGAUCGAGAGAAUCAUGGUUAAGGAACUCGGCAAAAUGCCCCCGUAACUUCGGGAGAAGGGGGGCCCCAACCUUGAGCACCACGUGCUGGUGUGAGGGGAUCGGGGCCGCAGAGACCAGGGGGAAGCGACUGUUUAUCAAAAACACAGGUCCAUGCGAAGUCGUAAGACGAUGUAUAUGGACUGACUCCUGCCCGGUGCUGGAAGGUUAAGGGGACCCGUUAGCUUCGGCGAAGCGGAGAACUUAAGCCCCAGUAAACGGCGGUGGUAACUAUAACCAUCCUAAGGUAGCGAAAUUCCUUGUCGGGUAAGUUCCGACCUGCACGAAUGGAGUAACGACUUCCCCGCUGUCUCAACCAUGAACUCGGCGAAAUUGCAUUACGAGUAAAGAUGCUCGUUACGCGCAGAAGGACGGAAAGACCCCGUGACCUUUACUAUAGUUUGGUAUUGGUGUUCGGUGUGGCUUGUGUAGGAUAGGUGGGAGACUGUGAAGCGGGCACGCCAGUGUUCGUGGAGUCGUCGUUGAAAUACCACUCUGGUCACUCUGGAUAUCUAACUUCGGCCCGUGAUCCGGGUCAGGGACAGUGCCUGAUGGGUAGUUUAACUGGGGCGGUUGCCUCCUAAAAUGUAACGGAGGCGCCCAAAGGUUCCCUCAGCCUGGUUGG
This 921-nucleotide ribosomal RNA is filed under the name Micrococcus luteus NCTC 2665. Its description in RNAcentral is "partial 23S ribosomal RNA". It matches the Rfam family "Bacterial large subunit ribosomal RNA", at positions 1437 to 2334 of the family's 2925-position model. The record is from RNAcentral. Lineage: Bacteria; Bacillati; Actinomycetota; Actinomycetes; Micrococcales; Micrococcaceae.